RNAcentral lists this ribosomal RNA (101 nucleotides) under uncultured Bradyrhizobium sp. RNAcentral describes it as "partial 16S ribosomal RNA". It matches the Rfam family "Bacterial small subunit ribosomal RNA", at positions 220 to 321 of the family's 1533-position model. Lineage: Bacteria; Pseudomonadati; Pseudomonadota; Alphaproteobacteria; Hyphomicrobiales; Nitrobacteraceae. The record is from RNAcentral.
GAAAGAUCGGCCGCGUCUGAUUAGCUAGUUGGUGGGGUAACGGCCCACCAAGGCGACGAUCAGUAGCUGGUCUGAGAGGAUGAUCAGCCACAUUGGGACUG